CCUACGGGUGGCAGCAGUGAGGAAUAUUGGUCAAUGGACGCAAGUCUGAACCAGCCAAGCCGCGUGCAGGAAGACGGCUCUAUGAGUUGUAAACUGCUUUUGUACGGGGAUAAACGCAGAUACGCGUAUCUGUCUGAAAGUAUCGUACGAAUAAGGAUCGGCUAACUCCGUGCCAGCAGCCGCGGUAAUACGGAGGAUUCGAGCGUUAUCCGGAUUUAUUGGGUUUAAAGGGUGCGUAGGCGGUCGGAUAAGUCAGGGGUGAAAUCCCGAGGCUCAACUUCGGAAUUGCCUUUGAUACUGGCAGGCUAGAGAGUAGUAGAGGUAGGCGGAAUGGAUGGUGUAGCGGUGAAAUGCUUAGAGAUCAUACAGAACACCGAUUGCGAAGGCAGCUUGCCGAGCUACUUCUGACGUUGAGGCACGAAAGCGUGGGGAGCAAACAGGAUUAGAUACCCCUGUAGUC
Molecule: ribosomal RNA, 460 nt
Filed under: uncultured bacterium
Lineage: Bacteria
Description: partial 16S ribosomal RNA
Rfam family: Bacterial small subunit ribosomal RNA
Source: RNAcentral